AUGCUAACAACUCAUCGUCUUCUUCCUUGUAACAAAACCUAUCAUGUGUGUUUUAACAGUUUUGUGCAUCAAUAUUCAGAUCAACACCACGCCUUCAAUUCUCAACCAUUUUCAACGAAACAAAGUGCAAACCAAAUAUCUAACAAUAAGCUACCACCAACAAUUCAUGGAUUUCAAAACCAUCAACAGAUCAAACCACAAUCAUCACACGAAAAUCCAGAAAAUCAUCCAUAUCCAAAUUUUCAUAAGUUGAAAACAAUAUCUAGGCCUCAAAUUGAAGUAAACACAUAUUUCAUUCCUAUUGUUUAG
Non-coding RNA from Vicia faba (fava bean), 309 nucleotides. The record is from the annotation of a GenBank genome assembly. Lineage: Eukaryota; Viridiplantae; Streptophyta; Magnoliopsida; Fabales; Fabaceae.